Long non-coding RNA from Aethalodelphis obliquidens (Pacific white-sided dolphin), 3461 nucleotides. RefSeq lists it as uncharacterized. The transcript is spliced from 3 exons. Lineage: Eukaryota; Metazoa; Chordata; Mammalia; Artiodactyla; Delphinidae. The record is from RefSeq and is a predicted model, not a curated record.
ACGGCCUCCUGCAGGCACCACGAGUAGCCCUCGCUGUAGUCCUGGUGCAGGCUCUUGGGGCCGCCGGGGGCGGCGGCGAAGGCUGCGGGGAGUCGGGGCGGCGGUAGCUGACGGCCAUCUCCAGGAUGUCGGCCUUCUCCAGCUUGGAGUUGGGCUGGUGGCGCGCGAACUCCUGCUCUAGCAGCAGCUUCAGCUGCUCGAUGCUGCUGUUGAUGCGGUCGCGGCGCAUCUUCUCCACCACCGGCUUCCGCAGCUGCGGGCGGGAGGAGGGGGCGUCAGCGGGGCCGCGCCAGCGCGGGGGCCGCAGGGGCCGCGGCCGCGCACUUACUCGGUUUUUCUCUUUGGGGCUGAGCAGCUCCACGGCCACGGUGCUGGGGGCCAUGCCUGGCGCGGGGAGAGGCGAGGAGGCGAGGAAGCAGGGAGCGGAGCGGGCGCGUCCCGUGCUGGCGCGGGCCCCAGCCCCUAUAUAGGCGCGGGCGGCGGGCUGGCGCCUGGGGCCCGGGCGCCGCGGCCGUUCCCACACUCCGCGGCCAAUGGCGGCGCGGGCCGCACAAAGGCGCCGGCCCAUUAGCGCACGCUAAAUUGCCUGUGAAUUGGCGCGGGCACAAUGGGCGCUCCCCGAGGAGCAGGUGGGCCGCGCGGCACAAUGUCCGGGCUGUGGGAACGCGCUCGCCCUCAUUAGCAUCCCGGGGCCUGAUGCUGGGAGCCCCGCGCCUCAAUAUGCUGCCUUUUCCCAGGCCGCGGGGACAAGGGUGGGGGCAGGAAGGAGCUGCGCCCCUCCCCUCCCCUUCCCUCCCUCCCCCUCUUCUCUCCCGUACCCCCCCCUCCCCAGCGACUCCCCGCUGCUGGCUGGUAGAGGCCGGGAGCCCAGAUAAGGGGAAGCUUUAGAAUGCACAAGUGCGGGCGGCUUCCAGGAGGGUGGGCACCGUCCUUGACAGGCGAGGGGGACGGAGGAAGCCGCCCUUUUCCUGAACAGACACAGUCACCUCCCUCUGCACAGGUGGAAGAGGGGCCCAGGCUCUCAGGAUCAGACCUACUGGCACAUGUGGCAAGUCUCCCCAGGCUGUCACCUGGGACACGUGACUUCAGAGCUAGAAAAUGGGCUGCCACGCCUCCCUGGCUGGGCUCUGGGUAGCUUCAGGGAGCCAGAGUACCCGAAACGCCCAGCAUGGAGCCCGGCACCUAGGCGGUCCCCCCAGGAGCUGCACUCCCUCCUCCCUGGAGCAGUUCAGCAGACUGUGGCAACUGGGGUGCUCUGAAUCAGCAGGUGGCCUCUAGGGUCCCACCCCACCCCCAUCUGGAUGGGAGUCUGACCGUGGCUGUCCACGGAGCACGGGAGGGCGCGUGGCUGCGGGCGUGCUCUGUACAGGUGUGUGGUCACUGCUCCUGCGUGACUCGGGGGAAGCCUUGGCUGCAUGCUACGCUCUGCACUGCCUUAGGGGCACUUGGAGGGCUUGCUGUCCCUAGGCAUUUUGCCAGUGCUGAGGAAGGGGGUGCCAGGUGGCAGACAUGAGGCUCCUGCCUGGAGCCCACACGAACGCUGUACCUACUCAGACGCCCUGGAGGAACCGCUGAUCCCGGUACUUGGUCAGCCCAGCUGAGGGCCAGCCACUGCUUGGGGGACCACCAACCCCACCCUGGGUCCCUAGGGGAGGGCUUGUUGGGAGCACCCCUCCACCCAAAACAAUCACUUUACUUGGAUUCUCUGCAGCCAGGAAUCCAGUUCUGCAGGGACUGCGGGAGGGGGUGGGGCUGGGAGUACCUUCUAGGGGCAAGGCGGGACCCAGCAAGGUCCAAAGAGGAGGCAGGGCUUCAGCCCGGGGAGCCAGCGGCUGGCAUCAGGGUGCGUGAGCCAGAGUCGAAACCCAGGAGCACAGUUCCCUGGACGGCAGCCAUGUCCGAGCGCAGCUGGGAAUUGCAGGGCCUUGACGAGGGUCUAGGCAGUGACUCACAGCUAUGAGUGGCCUGCUUGGUGGACCUGCUCAAGAGGUCCGCAGCACAAGGAGCCUUUGGGGACCCGGAGAUGGGCCCAUCCGGGAAGCAGGAGGAUGGUGUCAGGACGGCCAGGGCAGCCCCAAGAGCCUGCUGGUCACCCACUGGGACGGAUUAGGCUGGGGGCCUCCCGGGGGGGAACCUAUAGGUGACUUUGGAAGGGAGUGGAGGGCAGCCCCAUUCACCCCUUGGCACCUGCUCUACCCCCAGAGCACCUCUCUUGAAGGGGAAACAGGCCCCAGGCUGGCUUUGGGAGGUGGGUGACCCUGAGCCCUGGACUCCUCUCGAGCAGGUGGACCCCCUACCACAGAUAUCCGGCCCGAUCAGGUUUGAUGCAAAAGGGCAGAGGGCACCCAGGCAAACUGGGAUGGGUGUGCUGGAGACAUGUGCUCUGUCCUCUGCUCCACAGCCCUGGCUGGUACUGUCAGCGUGGGCUGGCAUAUCCCACAGGCUGCAAGGGGCACCCGGUGACGCUCAGUGGAGCCAUUUUUGCACCAAAAGUGGGGCUUGCGCUGGGCAACCAGCACGUUUUGGUGGGUCCCUCGCCUGCCUAUGGACUCCCUGGGGGUGGACUGUCAGGGGGAGGGCAAGAUGGCUUAGUUGCCUGUGUCCCCGUCGCCCACACCCUGCCAGCCCGGCACCUGGCGCCAAGGAGGAGCUUGGCCAAGGAAGAGGGAAUGCAGGGACGAGGGGCGUGUGCUCGACUGCCUCGCUGCGGGCAGCGGGCGCCCCAGGGCUCUGCCCGGAACUGAGGGCAGCACGCGGGCCGGGCCCGUCCCCCUGUCCCCCACCCCGCCAGCUUCAGAGGGGCAGUUGGCCACCUCCCCCAAGCCAGCUCUCGGCCCAAGGGAGACACGUGCCAGAGACGUGGUCCAGGCCCUACCCCACCCCACCCCAGCUGCACGCCCACCCGCAGUGGGCCAGGGUGGAGGUGAGGGUGGCGGGUGGGCCAUGGGAGGCUGACUCCUCCCGCCUUCCUCCCCUCCCCCCUCCCCCUGGACAGUAGCAGCUUUGAUCCAAUUUUGAGUUGUGGGAAAUAUGAAAUGAAUGGUGUUAAAUCUCAGCCCGGCCGGAUGAAAGGCUUGAUCCCUCCCCGAGUGCGGGCCAGAUGGCAGCGCGGCCUCCGAGGCACACGCCUGGCCUUUGUGGGCCGUUUAACACUGUGAAUGGGGCCAAAGUGUGGGAAAGUCGCUGGGCUCCUGGCUCACAUGUCCGUCCGAGGUGAAUGGAUAAGUGAAAUGUGGUCCAUCCCUAUGACAGAAUGUUAUUCAGCGUUAGAAAGGAAGGUGAUUCUGACACCUGCUCCAACGUGGAUGGACCUUGAGGACACUGUGCUGAGCGAGAUGAGCCAGCCAGAAAGGACACAUCCUACAUGAUCCUGCUUCUGUGACGUCCCUGGAGGAGUCACACUCACAGAGACAGAAAGGAGGAGGGUGGCGGCCGGGGCUGGGGGAGGGGUGGGCAGUGAG